This 245-nucleotide ribosomal RNA is filed under the name uncultured bacterium. Its description in RNAcentral is "partial 16S ribosomal RNA". It matches the Rfam family "Bacterial small subunit ribosomal RNA", at positions 524 to 768 of the family's 1533-position model. The record is from RNAcentral.
UACGUAGGUGGCAAGCGUUGUCCGGAAUUACUGGGCGUAAAGGGCGUGUAGGCGGUUUUUUAAGUCAGACGUGAAAUCUCUGGGCUUAACCCAGAAGCUGCGUUUGAUACUGGAGAGCUUGAGGACCGGAGAGGGUAGUGGAAUUCCCAGUGUAGCGGUGAAAUGCGUAGAUAUUGGGAGGAACACCAGUGGCGAAGGCGACUACCUGGACGGCACCUGACGCUGAGGCGCGAAAGCUAGGGGAG